Molecule: ribosomal RNA, 460 nt
Filed under: uncultured bacterium
Lineage: Bacteria
Description: partial 16S ribosomal RNA
Rfam family: Bacterial small subunit ribosomal RNA
Source: RNAcentral
CCUACGGGUGGCAGCAGUGAGGAAUAUUGGUCAAUGGACGAGAGUCUGAACCAGCCAAGUAGCGUGAAGGAUGACUGCCCUAUGGGUUGUAAACUUCUUUUAUAUGGGAAUAAAAUGUUCCACGUGUGGGAUUUCGUAUGUACCUUAUGAAUAAGGAACGGCUAACUCCGUGCCAGCAGCCGCGGUAAUACGGAGGAUCCGAGCGUUAUCCGGAUUUAUUGGGUUUAAAGGGAGCGUAGGGGGAUUGGUAAGUCAGUUGUGAAAGUCUGGGGCUCAAACGUAAAAUUGCAGUUGAAACUGGCAGUCUUGAGUAGAGUAGAGGUGGGCAGAAGUCGUGGUGUAGCGGUGAAAUGCUGAGAUAUCACGAAGAACUCCGAUUGCGAAGGCAGCUCACUGGACUGAAACUGACGCUGAGGCGCGAAAGUGUGGGUAUCAAACAGGAUUAGAUACCCUUGUAGUC